CUCGCAUAUGUCUGGGAGCUGCCUGAUGGAGGGGGAUAACUACUGGAACGGUAGCUAAUACCGCAUAACGUCGCAAGACCAAAGAGGGGGACCUUCGGGCCUCUUGCCAUCGGAUGUGCCCAGAUGGGAUUAGCUAGUAGGUGGGGUAACGGCUCACCUAGGCGACGAUCCCUAGCUGGUCUGAGAGGAUGACCAGCCACACUGGAACUGAGACACGGUCCAGACUCCUACGGGAGGCAGCAGUGGGGAAUAUUGCACAAUGGGCGCAAGCCUGAUGCAGCCAUGCCGCGUGUAUGAAGAAGGCCUUCGGGUUGUAAAGUACUUUCAGCGGGGAGGAAGGGAGUAAAGUUAAUACCUUUGCUCAUUGACGUUACCCGCAGAAGAAGCACCGGCUAACUCCGUGCCAGCAGCCGCGGUAAUACGGAGGGUGCAAGCGUUAAUCGGAAUUACUGGGCGUAAAGCGCACGCAGGCGGUUUGUUAAGUCAGAUGUGAUCCCCCCGGGCUCAA
This 508-nucleotide ribosomal RNA is filed under the name Escherichia coli. RNAcentral's name for it is "bacterial SSU rRNA". It matches the Rfam family "Bacterial small subunit ribosomal RNA", at positions 109 to 612 of the family's 1533-position model. The record is from RNAcentral. Lineage: Bacteria; Pseudomonadati; Pseudomonadota; Gammaproteobacteria; Enterobacterales; Enterobacteriaceae.